GCCGCCGUAGCUCAGCCCGGUUAGAGCGGCGGGCUGUUAACCCGUAGGUCCCGGGUUCAAAUCCCGGCGGCGGCG
RNAcentral lists this transfer RNA (75 nucleotides) under Pyrobaculum aerophilum. RNAcentral's name for it is "tRNA-Asn". It matches the Rfam family "tRNA". From Rfam's summary of the family: Transfer RNA (tRNA) molecules are approximately 80 nucleotides in length. Their secondary structure includes four short double-helical elements and three loops (D, anti-codon, and T loops). Lineage: Archaea; Thermoproteati; Thermoproteota; Thermoprotei; Thermoproteales; Thermoproteaceae. The record is from RNAcentral. RNAcentral also lists the same sequence under 3 other names.